Molecule: long non-coding RNA, 356 nt
Organism: Ornithodoros turicata
Lineage: Eukaryota; Metazoa; Arthropoda; Arachnida; Ixodida; Argasidae
Exons: 3
Source: RefSeq, a predicted model, not a curated record
AGCUAAGUGUACUCGUGACCCUACCAGCACUUUUCAAGAUACUUUCGACGUAUUCAUUGCGGUGAACAACGCGGUUGGGACAGCACACUCACGACGUGGGAAGGUCACAGAAAUGUUGAAAGACAUCAGGUAAGUUACGCUAAAGUGCGUUUCAGAGCUCUUCAGUGACUUGUGUUUACUGCGAAACAGAUUGGGCAUACGCUUCACCCGUGCAACUUCGUCAUGUGCUCCACGGCUUUACGGCUGUGCCACUAUGUGUGGAAACGUCGUAGCGGAUGAAUGUGAAUUAUGGAUCUCCAAGUGGCGUCGCCCGCGUCAUUUUCAAGAUUUUACCCGUUUUGAAGGUACGUAGUGAA